Equus asinus (donkey) is the source of this 136-nucleotide small nucleolar RNA. Its record names the gene SNORA70. It matches the Rfam family "Small nucleolar RNA SNORA70". From Rfam's summary of the family: snoRNA U70 seems to be exclusive to mammals and is a member of the H/ACA class of snoRNA which contain H (ANANNA) and ACA box motifs. H/ACA box snoRNAs are involved in the conversion of uridines to pseudouridines (5-ribosyluracil) a constituent of structural RNAs (transfer, ribosomal, small nuclear, and small nucleolar). NCBI's taxonomy places the organism in Eukaryota, Metazoa, Chordata, Mammalia, Perissodactyla, Equidae. The record is from Ensembl.
AUGCAGCAAAUUAAGCCAAACAUGCUCUUUUCUUCAUGGGAGCGGCCAGUGUGCAACGGCUGCAAAUAACAUCUCCCUCGAUAGUGUAUACGGCCUGCUGCUCACAUGGGUUGCUCUAAAGGUUGUGGAGACGGCC